Molecule: transfer RNA, 67 nt
Filed under: Saccostrea cuccullata (small rock oyster)
Lineage: Eukaryota; Metazoa; Mollusca; Bivalvia; Ostreida; Ostreidae
Description: Saccostrea cucullata (small rock oyster) tRNA-Thr
Source: RNAcentral
UCAGUUUUAGUAUAAAGUAUAUUACGGGGGCCUUGUAAGUCCUAAAUUUGUUAAGGCAAAAACUGGU